CAGCAGCCACGGUAAUACGGAGGGUGCAAGCGUUAAUCGGAAUUACUGGGCGUAAAGCGCACGCAGGCGGUCUGACAAGUCAGAUGUGAAAUCCCCGGGCUUAACCUGGGAACUGCAUUUGAAACUGUCAGGCUGGAGUCUUGUAGAGGGGGGUGGAAUUCCAGGUGUAGCGGUGAAAUGCGUAGAGAUCUGGAGGAAUACCGGUGGCGAAGGCGGCCCCCUGGACAAAGACUGACGCUCAGGUGCGAAAGCGUGGGGAGCAAACAGGAUUAGAUACCCUGGUAGUCCCUGUCUCUUAUAC
This 301-nucleotide ribosomal RNA is filed under the name uncultured bacterium. RNAcentral describes it as "partial 16S ribosomal RNA". It matches the Rfam family "Bacterial small subunit ribosomal RNA", at positions 509 to 807 of the family's 1533-position model. The record is from RNAcentral.